This 561-nucleotide ribosomal RNA is filed under the name Triticum aestivum (bread wheat). RNAcentral's name for it is "partial small subunit ribosomal RNA". Lineage: Eukaryota; Viridiplantae; Streptophyta; Magnoliopsida; Poales; Poaceae. The record is from RNAcentral.
AUGUAUUUGGACAUUAUUAAGUCGGGUUCCAUUCCAAGAUCUUUGCAUAUCUGGAAAGUCAAAGUGCCCUUAAGAAUGAAGGUCUUCAUGUGGUUUGUCCACAAGGAAGUGAUUCUGACUAAGGACAACUUGGCAAAACGCAAUUUGGAAGGAUCACGGAGAUGUAGUUUCUGCGACCAUGAUGAAUCUAUCAAACACCUCUGUUUGGAUUGUCCGAUGGCCAAAGUUUUAUGGCACUCAGUACAUAUGGCGUUUAAUAUAUCUCCUCUAAAUAGCAUUUACACGUUAUUUGGGACGUGGCUAAAUGAAGUAGAGACAGAGACAUGGAAAUAUAUCCGUGUAGGAGUAUGUGCUUUAUUAUGGGCUAUAUGGAACUGCAUGAACGAUUUGGCUUUUAACAGGAAAACACAUAUCCAUUCUUUUGCAGGUUAUCUUCAGGGCCACUGCUUUGAUCCAUAUGUGGUUGCUAUUCACUCAGAAGGAUGUCAAGGAGCAUUUGAUUACUGGGUCUACCCGUUGGGAGAUGGUAGUUCGGGCUAUGACGGUCAUAUAAUAGGAUAG